UACGGAAGGUGCAAGCAUUAAUCGGAAUUAUUGGGCGUAAAGGGCGCGUAGGCGGAUUUGUAAGUCAGAUGUGAAAUACCGAAGCUCAACUUCGGUGCUGCAUUUGAAACUACAAAUCUAGAGGGUUGACGGAGAAAACGGAAUUCCACGUGUAGCGGUGAAAUGCGUGGAUAUGUGGAAGAACACCGGUGGCGAAGGCGGUUUUCUAGUUAAUACCUGACGCUGAGGCGCGAGAGCAAGGGGAGCAAACAGG
RNAcentral lists this ribosomal RNA (253 nucleotides) under uncultured Candidatus Rhabdochlamydia sp. RNAcentral describes it as "partial 16S ribosomal RNA". It matches the Rfam family "Bacterial small subunit ribosomal RNA", at positions 524 to 776 of the family's 1533-position model. Lineage: Bacteria; Pseudomonadati; Chlamydiota; Chlamydiia; Parachlamydiales; Candidatus Rhabdochlamydiaceae. The record is from RNAcentral.